Molecule: ribosomal RNA, 559 nt
Filed under: uncultured bacterium
Lineage: Bacteria
Description: bacterial LSU rRNA
Rfam family: Bacterial large subunit ribosomal RNA
Source: RNAcentral
UUAAAGUAACGAGCAAGCUUAAGCCGAUAGGCGUAGGCGCAGCGAAAGCGAGUCUGAAUAGGGCGUUCAGUUCGUUGCUUUAGACCCGAACCGAGUGAUCUAGCCAUGAGCAGGUUGAAGGUGCGGUAACACGCACUGGAGGACCGAACGGGUGUCUGUUGAAAAAGACUCCGAUGACUUGUGGUUAGGGGUGAAAAGGCCAACCAAACUCGGAAAUAGCUGGUUCUCCGCGAAAUCUAUUUAGGUAGAGCCUUGUGUGAAUACCGUAGGGGGUAGAGCACUGGAUGGGCUAGGGGGUCCCACAGACUUACCAAACCUAACCAAACUCCGAAUACCUACGAGUACUGCACAGGAGACACACGGCGGGUGCUAACGUCCGUCGUGGAGAGUGAAACAACCCAGACCAACAGCUAAGGCCCCCAAUUCGUGGCUAAGUGGGAAAGGAUGUGGAAAAUCCCAAAACAACCAGGAGGUUGGCUUAGAAGCAGCCAUCCUUUAAAGAAAGCGUAACAGCUCACUGGUCUAAAUAAGGGUUUCUGCGCCGAAGAUGUACCGGGGC